GACGAACGCUGGCGGCGUGCCUAAUACAUGCAAGUAGAACGCACAGUUUAUACCGUAGCUUGCUACACCAUAAACUGUGAGUUGCGAACGUGUGAGUAACGCGUAGGUAACCUGCCUGGUAGCGGGGGAUAACUAUUGGAAACGAUAGCUAAUACCGCAUAAUAUUGAUUAUUGCAUGAUAAUUGAUUGAAAGAUGCUAUUGCAUCACUACCAGAUGGACCUGCGUUGUAUUAGCUAGUAGGUGAGGUAACGGCUCACCUAGGCGACGAUACAUAGCCGACCUGAGAGGGUGAUCGGCCACACUGGGACUGAGACACGGCCCAGACUCCUACGGGAGGCAGCAGUAGGGAAUCUUCGGCAAUGGACGAAAGUCUGACCGAGCAACGCCGCGUGAGUGAAGAAGGUUUUCGGAUCGUAAAGCUCUGUUGUAAGAGAAGAACGGGUGUGAGAGUGGAAAGUUCACACUGUGACGGUAUCUUACCAGAAAGGGACGGCUAACUACGUG
Molecule: ribosomal RNA, 505 nt
Filed under: uncultured bacterium
Lineage: Bacteria
Description: partial 16S ribosomal RNA
Rfam family: Bacterial small subunit ribosomal RNA
Source: RNAcentral